RNAcentral lists this long non-coding RNA (219 nucleotides) under Elaeis guineensis (African oil palm). RNAcentral's name for it is "long non-coding RNA (EGUI_LNC037792)". The record is from RNAcentral. Lineage: Eukaryota; Viridiplantae; Streptophyta; Magnoliopsida; Arecales; Arecaceae.
AGCCCAGUAGAUUAAAGCCCAAAGCGAAAAAAAAAAAACAAAACAAAACAAAACAGGGGAAUUCAAAAUCGGGAAGAAGACUCCCGAUGGGAGUCUCCUUCUCCGACGAAAUCCGGACGGAAUCAGGACUCCUAGGACCCCUCGGAGUCCUAGGGUCCUCUAUAAGUAGACCCCUCCCCCUUGAGACCCAAGAACGGCCUCCUCCCUCUCUCUUUCUCU